RNAcentral lists this small nuclear RNA (93 nucleotides) under Choloepus hoffmanni (Hoffmann's two-fingered sloth). Lineage: Eukaryota; Metazoa; Chordata; Mammalia; Pilosa; Megalonychidae. The record is from RNAcentral.
AUACUUCAGCAGCACAUAUACUAAAAUUUGAACGAUAAAGCAUGGCCCCUGUGCAAAGAUGACAUACAAAUUUGUGAAACCUUCCAUAUUUAA